This is a long non-coding RNA of Callithrix jacchus (white-tufted-ear marmoset), 1793 nucleotides long. NCBI's taxonomy places the organism in Eukaryota, Metazoa, Chordata, Mammalia, Primates, Cebidae. The record is from Ensembl.
GUACCCUCUGCUCGCAGCUCCUCUGAGCACGCCGUCUCAUCAUCACCGUCAUGAAUCAUCGUAGGAAAGUCCUAAAUCCCAGAGUUUGCAAUGUUAUAAAACUCACAACCUUUGGAAGGAACUAACCUCUUGCGGGUCAGGCAAAUUGGAGCUGAUAUAAUGCAAAGUGCACGGUGGUGGAUUUUAUUUAUUAUUAUUAUUUUUAGAUUUAUUCAUCAGUCCGUGCAGGAGGAAGUGAAGCCAUCACUGGAUACAAACGUAGGACAAGUGCAGCGUCAUGAGCGUGUAGAGGGAGGUGGAGAGCCGGGAGAGGCUUUGCUGAGGGAGUGGUAUUCAGAAGAACGAGAGUCAGGGUAUUUGAAACAUCUGACUUAUGCAAGACCACAGGGAAGAGGUUGCUGGCAUGACAUCCUCCACACUGUACCUGGCUCCUGUCACCUGCCAUAUCACCUCCUGCCCCACCUCCUCCUUCAAACCUCAACACAGGGUUGUAUCAGCAUUUAAGGGCUGCGCAGCAAGCACCCCACGCCUCUAAAUGAAUGUGACCUUCCAGCUUAGAGGAGUUUUCUCCACUCAAGGACAUGUCUUCUAGGCCUUCGUCCAGUCAAUUCACAAAAGCUUCAACAUGGAACAUGGACUAACGCAAAAUCCUGCCAUAUGCCACUUUCCUCCAGAACAGUGAAGACCCUUGUACCGUUUAUUCAUUGUUCAGCCAACCAGGCUUUUGUGUAACAACGCUCUUGACCAUCCACAUCCUGGGUCAUCGCUGAGAAAGAGCUUCACAAAGGCAUCAUUCACAAGUUUUGGGUGUGGGAUACCAAAAACUGUGAUGGCAGCCGACAUUUGCUGACACCACUGUGUGAAGAGGUGGUGGCACUAAAUUGUCAUGAGGAUCCUACAUAUGGAGUACAAUUGUUAUCCCUGUUCAACAGAUGGGGAAACUGAGACUUAGAAACGUUCAAGAACUUUCCCCAAAUUACAGACUAGAAAGUCAGGGAGCUGGCUCUGAUCCCUGGCAGACUGGCCUGAAUGCCAUGGUCUCGACUUACAUUGGAUUGGUGCUAAAUGUCAGCAGGUGUCUGAUGUAUUUUAAAUAAUUAUCGACUCUAUCAUGGAUAGUGGUCAAAUUCUUUUCUGGAUUAAUUUGAAGUAAGGAGUAGAUGGGUCUCUUCGGGGGAUAGUUUGAUAAUAUUCUUGUUAAGGAUGGAGAGAGUCUUAUGCUGCUUUGUUCCUUCCAGGCUAAACUCGCCCUUUAGGUUUUCUUCCAUCCAGCAGCAGGCGCUCUGUCAGGUGCAAUAUGAUCACCAUGGUGACAUGUUCUCUUUUAAAAUGCAAGGGCAAAUACACCUAAAAAAUGGUAUUGCCAACUGCUUUCGUGGAGUCAUUAUGACUUUAGCCAGAACAAUGAAGACCCUUGUACCCUUUAUUCAUUGUUUAGCCAACCAGGCAUUCAAGUAACAAUGCUCUUGCUCAUUCACAUCUGGGUCAUCACUGAGAAAGAGCAUCACAGAGGCACCGUGCAUGUGGGUGUGGGUUACCAACAUGACAUAGCUCACGCUGCAAGCCAUGCCACUGAGCAUCGUGUUUCUCAAUGGCCUCCCGAGGCAGAAAACGCAGAUGUUGGCACCAUGAUGUACUCGUGGGUAAUGGUUGCUGAGCUUCGAAACGACUUUGGGUAGAACUGCAGUGUCUUAAACAAGAAAAGUCAUUUAAAUUCCACUUGCCCAGUCCUGCUCAUGGAGAGUGAUAAGAAGAGGAAUAAAAGGGCUUUUUCUGGUGAUUUUUGGGUAACU